CAGCCGCCGCGGUAAUACGGAGGGGGCUAGCGUUGUUCGGAAUUACUGGGCGUAAAGCGCACGUAGGCGGCUUGAUAAGUUAGAGGUGAAAGCCUGGAGCUCAACUCCAGAAUUGCCUUUAAGACUGCCGAGCUAGCAGGUGAGAGAGGUAAGUGGAAUUCCGAGUGUAGAGGUGAAAUUCGUAUAUAUUCGGAAGAACACCAGCGGCGAAGGCGGCUUACUGGCUCAUACUGGACGCUGAGGUGCGAAAGCGUGGGGAGCAAACAGGAUUAGAUACCCCGGUAGUCCCUGUCUCUUAUAC
Molecule: ribosomal RNA, 301 nt
Filed under: uncultured bacterium
Lineage: Bacteria
Description: partial 16S ribosomal RNA
Rfam family: Bacterial small subunit ribosomal RNA
Source: RNAcentral